AAGUCGUAACAAGGUUUCCGUAGGUGAACCUGCGGAAGGAUCAUUAACACGUAUCCACGUAUCAACUAAAACCACGAACUGUUCUCCCCGUAGACAACCUACCUCUGCGCUGUUCUUCCGAGUCUAUAAUGGGUCGCACUUCGGUGUGACAGGGCUCGGUUGUGACUAUUCACUCCUCGAAGUGAUGGCAAAGUAAUUGGCUUGUCGGGCUUUAUUCUUCAUUCCAUUUGAAUGUACCCAUUCUUCCAUUCAUGGCUUGAUAAACCAUACCCGUUUCACCAUAUGUUACCUAUUUGGCUAAUUACUACAUUCUUUGGAGAGAAAUCUCUAUGGAAUUCUAAGAUUUAUCUUAACUAAGCACAACUCUUAGCAAUGGAUAUCUUGGUUCUC
This 390-nucleotide unclassified non-coding RNA is filed under the name fungal sp. RNAcentral describes it as "partial internal transcribed spacer region". The stretch from base 1 to 46 matches the Rfam family "Eukaryotic small subunit ribosomal RNA", at positions 1786 to 1831 of the family's 1831-position model. Lineage: Eukaryota; Fungi. The record is from RNAcentral. RNAcentral also lists the same sequence under 1 other name.